This 659-nucleotide unclassified non-coding RNA is filed under the name Hevea brasiliensis (rubber tree). Lineage: Eukaryota; Viridiplantae; Streptophyta; Magnoliopsida; Malpighiales; Euphorbiaceae. The record is from RNAcentral.
ACCAAUCGGAGAUUGUCGGGGCAUAAAAAUUUGUGACAGGAGCAGCUUCAACUCCACGUCUAUUCAGUAGGCACCUGAAGUACUGCAAGAUAGGUAAAGCUGUUAAGGUAAUAUUUCCAGAAGAUAUGGCCUCUCUCCUACUCCAUGAGCGCUUUUUUGCAAUACCAGUUGACACGGGUCCAACCUUUUGAAAUUUUUAUAUCUUGAGCUCUGUGUACAAAAUAUUUAUAUGCAUCCUUGGUAGUCAAGUCGCAAUCCUGAAGCCUCAAUGGUCCUCUGCAAUAAUUGAUUGCCCAUUAUUUUUAUCUACAAAUAAAGUAUAACUCCCAUCCACCCCAAGCUGAAGCUCCUCACUACCAAAGUGAACUACAAUUUUCAAUUUACUGAUGUCAUAAGCCGAUCCUUUAUACCUAACAUCUGAAAAAUAGAAAAACUCUGGCGAUGCUUGAAGAUAAUCCUCUUGUAUCUCUCAAACGCGUCCUUGGCGAUAGUGGACUUGCCUCCGUCGCCACUGACAACAAGAGAAAGUGCUGGCUCAAUGGAUAGGGUGCGAUCGCCAGAGGUGAACUCCGAUUGCAGCGGCCAGACGUAAGUGAGCGUGUUAUCGAGUUGAAAGGCGAAAUCCUGCCACAGGAUUGUUAAGAUUGACAGAAAUUGUG